AUAGCAUGUCAGAAGGCAGACCCGGAGAACUGAAACAUCUUAGUACCCGGAGGAAGAGAAAGAAAAAUCGAUUCCCUGAGUAGCGGCGAGCGAAACGGGAAGAGCCCAAACCAACAAGCUUGCUUGUUGGGGUUGUAGGACACUCUAUACGGAGUUACAAAAGAACAUGUUAGACGAAUCAUCUGGAAAGAUGAAUCAAAGAAGGUAAUAAUCCUGUAGUCGAAAACAUAUUCUCUCUUGAGUGGAUCCUGAGUACGACGGAGCACGUGAAAUUCCGUCGGAAUCUGGGAGGACCAUCUCCUAAGGCUAAAUACUCUCUAGUGACCGAUAGUGAACCAGUACCGUGAGGGAAAGGUGAAAAGUACCCCGGAAGGGGAGUGAAAGAGAACUUGAAACCGUGUGCUUACAAGUAGUCAGAGCCCGUUAAUGGGUGAUGGCGUGCCUUUUGUAGAAUGAACCGGCGAGUUACGAUCUGAUGCAAGGUUAAGCAGCAAAUGUGGGGCCGCAGCGAAAGCGAGUCUGAAUAGGGCGUUGAGUAUUUGGUCGUAGACCCGAAACCAGGUGAU
This 566-nucleotide ribosomal RNA is filed under the name Staphylococcus epidermidis. RNAcentral describes it as "partial 23S ribosomal RNA". It matches the Rfam family "Bacterial large subunit ribosomal RNA", at positions 164 to 729 of the family's 2925-position model. Lineage: Bacteria; Bacillati; Bacillota; Bacilli; Caryophanales; Staphylococcaceae. The record is from RNAcentral.